GAACACCAACAAAAGUUAUGUGAUUGGGCUCAACAUCAGCUAAUCUCAUUUGUUCAAAAAUCUUUAUAGCUUGUUCACCAAAUCCGUGGUGAGAAAAUCCACAGAUUAUAGAAUUCCAAGAAAUGAUAUUAUGACUAGGCAUAGAAGAGAAUUCCAGCAAUGCAGAGUGCAUGUGCCCACACCUUGCAUACAUGGUGACCAUUGCAUUAGAAACUUCAGUAACAUGAUCAAAACCUGUUUUUAUUGCCUCUGCAUGGAUUUGUUCACCAAGAAGUGAGGCUGGCAAGUCCGAACAGAUUGUCAAAACACUAGUAAGUGUAGCUUUAUCGGGAGAUGAACCUAACUCUUUCAUUCUAACAAAAAUUUUUAGACCUUCCUCACCAUUACCAUUUUCUCCUAAUCCACAAAUCAUGACAUUCCAUACAGUUGUAUCAGGAGUUCUCAUCAAUUUGAAAAGUUUGAUAGCACCACUAACUUCACCUACUUCAAAAUAUCCAACGAGUAUAUUUGUCCAUGACACUAUGUCACCAUAUGGGAGUUUCUCAAGGAACCCAUGAACUGCUUUGACAUGCCCAUUUCUUAUUAAUCCUAACAAAACCAAGUUCCAUGUCUUUUGGCAUUUCUCUGGCAUUUCCAUGUAGAAGUUAAGAGCAUCAUUGACUCUUUGACAACUUACCAAUCCAUUUAUGAAACACUUCCAAGAGUCAAGAUCCCGCUCCAGCAUUUUUUGAAAUAAAAUUUCUGCCAUUUCAAUCCGCUGGUUUUCCAUAUAGCCAACCAUCAAGGCGUUCCAAGCUUGGACAUCUUUUAUGGGCAUCUCUUCAAAAAAAUCAUGAGCUUCCUUAAUACGUCCCACUC
Molecule: unclassified non-coding RNA, 858 nt
Filed under: Hevea brasiliensis (rubber tree)
Lineage: Eukaryota; Viridiplantae; Streptophyta; Magnoliopsida; Malpighiales; Euphorbiaceae
Source: RNAcentral